This 25-nucleotide non-coding RNA is filed under the name Cricetulus griseus (Chinese hamster). Lineage: Eukaryota; Metazoa; Chordata; Mammalia; Rodentia; Cricetidae. The record is from RNAcentral.
GCUUGACCAGGACUUGGGUAGAAGU